CUACGGGUCGCAGCAGUGGGGAAUAUUGCACAAUGGAGGAAACUCUGAUGCAGCAACGCCGCGUGGAGGAUGACAGUUUUCGGAGCGUAAACUCCUUUUAUAUAGGAAGAAGAUGACGGUACUAUAUGAAUAAGCGCCGGCUAACUCCGUGCCAGCAGCCGCGGUAAUACGGAGGGCGCAAGCGUUACUCGGAAUCACUGGGCGUAAAGAGCGUGUAGGCGGAUUAAAAAGUCAGAAGUGAAAUCCUAUAGCUUAACUAUAGAACUGCUUCUGAAACUCUUAAUCUAGAAUAUGGGAGAGGUAGACGGAAUUUCUGGUGUAGGGGUAAAAUCCGUAGAGAUCAGAAGGAAUACCGAUUGCGAAGGCGAUCUACUAGAACAUUAUUGACGCUGAGACGCGAAAGCGUGGGGAGCAAACAGGAUUAGAUACCCGCGUAGUC
This 439-nucleotide ribosomal RNA is filed under the name uncultured bacterium. Its description in RNAcentral is "partial 16S ribosomal RNA". It matches the Rfam family "Bacterial small subunit ribosomal RNA", at positions 339 to 795 of the family's 1533-position model. The record is from RNAcentral.